This is a long non-coding RNA of Callithrix jacchus (white-tufted-ear marmoset), 402 nucleotides long. RefSeq lists it as uncharacterized. The record is from RefSeq and is a predicted model, not a curated record. Lineage: Eukaryota; Metazoa; Chordata; Mammalia; Primates; Cebidae.
UAGUGGUGCCCCAAGACAUUUUCAAAAGAUCCAUGAGGUCAAAGCUAUUUUCACAAUACUAAGGCUUUACUCACCUUUUUUCACCCUUAUUCUCUCACAAGUAUACUGUGUAGUUUUCCAGAGGCUAAAUGACAUGUGACACCGAAGCCAACUAAAUAUCAAAGAAGAUAUGAGUAUCCACCUGCAAAAUUGGAUGGAAUCCAAUUUCAUCUAUUAAGAUACCAAAAUAAUUUCCCUUUCUCACCUUGAAAUGACCUGAGCUAACAGAAGAAAUUUUCCUGCAUUGCUUAUGAGGAUCAUACAUAAAUCAAAAUGACCUGUUUGGAGGUUGCUGACAGUUCAGGCAUGGUGUCGGUGAUUAUGUGGAAUGCCCCCCGGUCCUGAGUGGUUUAAAAUUUUGCG